GCUGUCAGAAUUAUCAUUCAUAAUAUAUUGAUUAAGUUGUGUCUUUCUGAUGAUGGUCAGAUUGAUCAGGCCACACUCGAGCCUGGUCACUCAUUUGUUAGAUGUACUAAAUUUUGGUAUAUUAAUGGUUGGACCUAACCAGAACUUUCAGUGGAGGUGCCAUACGCCUGCUGAAGAGGUGUCUAGGGUAAAAUUGAAUGUUCGAAAUUAUUUGAUAAAAUAAUUG
RNAcentral lists this long non-coding RNA (226 nucleotides) under Elaeis guineensis (African oil palm). Its description in RNAcentral is "long non-coding RNA (EGUI_LNC070371)". Lineage: Eukaryota; Viridiplantae; Streptophyta; Magnoliopsida; Arecales; Arecaceae. The record is from RNAcentral.